CGUACAGCACAAGGCCCAGUUUGUUAUAUAUCUCUUUCACGAUUUAGGCCCAAUUGUGUUGCCAUUAGUCUAUUUUAAGUCUAUAAAGAAUCAACAAAAAUUUCCAGUAAGACCCAAAGAAGAAUGGAAACAACGAACAGGUUGAAGCUCAAAUCAAUGAGAAAACAAAUGAUACGAGGACAAGAGUUAAAGCAGAAUCAAAGUUUUGUGAUCGAUUACAGAUAAUUUGUUUCGUCGACAAGGAUUCAAGGACUUGGAGGUGGGGGAAACGAGAUUGAGCCUGUUCGGUUUCUUUCUCCCUUUCAUUUUGCGUACAGCACAAGGCCCAAUUUGUUAUAUAUCUCUUUCACGAUUUAGACCCAAUUGUGUAGCCAUUAGUCUAUUUUAAGUCUAUAAAAAAUCAACAAAAAUUUCCAGUAAGACCCAAAGAAGAAUGGAAACAACGAACAGGUUGAAGCUCAAAUCAAUGAGAAAACAAAUGAUACGAGGACAAGAGUUAAAGCAGAAUCAAAGUUUUGUGAUCGAUUACAGAUAAUUUGUUUCGUCGACAAGGAUUCAAGGACUUGGAAGUGGGGGAAACGAGAUUGAGCCUGUUCGGUUUCUUUCUCCAUUUCAUUUUGCGUACAGCACAAUGCCCAAUUUGUUAUAUAUCUCUUUCACGAUUUAGGCCAAAUUGUGUAGCCAUUAGUCUAUUUUAAGUCUAUAAAGAAUCAACAAAAAUUUUCAGUAAGACCCAAAGAAGAAUGGAAACAACGAACAGGUUGAAGCUCAAAUCAAUGAGAAAACAAAUGAUACGAGGACAAGAGUUAAAGCAGAAUCAAAGUUUUGUGAUCGAUUACAGAUAAUUUGUUUCGUCGACAAGGAUUCAAGGACUUGGAGGUGGGGGAAACGAGAUUGAGCCUGUUCGGUUUCUUUCUCCAUUUCAUUUUGCGUACAGCACAAGGCCCAAUUUGUUAUAUAUCUCUUUCACGAUUUAGGCCCAAUUGUGUAGCCAUUAGUCUAUUUUAAGUCUAUAAAGAAUCAACAAAAAUUUCCAGUAAGACCCAAAGAAGAAUGGAAACAACGAACAGGUUG
This 1074-nucleotide long non-coding RNA is filed under the name Theobroma cacao (cacao). RNAcentral describes it as "long non-coding RNA (TCAC_LNC000576)". Lineage: Eukaryota; Viridiplantae; Streptophyta; Magnoliopsida; Malvales; Malvaceae. The record is from RNAcentral.